UAAUACCUGCAGCUCAAGUGGUGACCGUUAUUAUUGGGCCUAAAACGUUCGUAGCCGGUUUAGUAAAUGCCUGGGUAAAUCGUGUAGCUUAACUAUACGAAUUCCGGGUAGACUGCUAAGCUUGAGACCGGGAGAGGCUAGAGGUACUCCUGGGGUAGAGGUGGAAUUCUGUAAUCCUGGGGGGACCACCAGUGGCGAAGGCGUCUAGCUAGAACGGGUCUGACGGUGAGGAACGAAGCCCUGGGGCGCAAACCGGAUUAGAUACCCGGGUAGUCCAGGGUGUAAACGCUGCUUGCUUGAUGUUAGUCGGGCUCCGAGCCCGAUUAGUGUCGGAGAGAAGUUGUUAAGCAAGCUGCCUGGGAAGUACGGUCGCAAGACUG
RNAcentral lists this ribosomal RNA (380 nucleotides) under uncultured archaeon. Its description in RNAcentral is "bacterial SSU rRNA". It matches the Rfam family "Archaeal small subunit ribosomal RNA", at positions 471 to 851 of the family's 1478-position model. The record is from RNAcentral.